AGGUACAAGAAAGAGCCAAGUGUGCUAAGCAUAGUGGUCUUCCUUGGCUGAAAGGAUAAUAUGGACAAAAGCCUCUCUAUGUAAGUUCACUGUGGCCCGAAAAAGUUAAGAGUCUUCCCAAGGAGCCUGAUUUGCAACAGGAGUGCCAAGUAGCCCCAAGAAGCUACUGAAUCUCAAGGCAGCACUUCCUUCUUCCCAGCGCAGUAUUUUGUAUUGUGGGCCAUCUCUCAGGUUUUGUCCAUAGUGAGUGGGAAUUCU
This 258-nucleotide long non-coding RNA is filed under the name Homo sapiens (human). RNAcentral describes it as "HSALNT0017213". Lineage: Eukaryota; Metazoa; Chordata; Mammalia; Primates; Hominidae. The record is from RNAcentral.